Molecule: long non-coding RNA, 618 nt
Filed under: Brassica rapa (field mustard)
Lineage: Eukaryota; Viridiplantae; Streptophyta; Magnoliopsida; Brassicales; Brassicaceae
Description: long non-coding RNA (BRAP_LNC001593)
Source: RNAcentral
UUCCAUUAGAAUCAGCUUCACCAAGUCCUACUCCUUCCUCAGCUUCUGCUCCUUCACCUCAAGAGGUACCUGUUCCACAUCAAGGACACUCAAUGAUCACCAGAGCAAAAGCUGGCAUUGUCAAACCAAACCCACGAUAUGUGUUGCUCACGCAGAAAGUGGCUAUCCCUGAACCACGUUCUGUUGCUGCAACACUUAAUCAUCCUGGUUGGCACAAUGCAAUGCAAGAAGAGUAUGAUACCUGUGAAGAGACGAACACGUUCACUCUUGUGCCUCGCACUCCUGAUAUGCAUGUUCUUGGCUCAGGAUGGGUUCAUCGUGUGAAGCUUAAUGCUGAUGGCACUUUGAACAAGCUUAAGUCUCGCGUGGUGGCAAGCGGUAACGAGCAGGAAGAAGGUGUUGAUUACUUAGAGACCUACAGUCCAGUUGUUAGAAUGGCAUCAGUAAGGACUAUUCUACACAUGGCUACGGUGCUGAAUUGGGAAAUUAAACAAAUGGAUGUUAAGAAUGCGUUCUUACAUGGAGAUCUCCAUGAGAAAGUUUUCAUGAGGCAGCCUUCCGGGUUCGUUGAUAAGCAGAAACCUGAUCAUGUAUGGAGUCUCAACAAGGCUAUCUACG